RNAcentral lists this ribosomal RNA (515 nucleotides) under uncultured bacterium. Its description in RNAcentral is "partial 16S ribosomal RNA". It matches the Rfam family "Bacterial small subunit ribosomal RNA", at positions 28 to 523 of the family's 1533-position model. The record is from RNAcentral.
GAUGAACGCUGGCGGCGUGCCUAAUACAUGCAAGUCGAGCGAAUGGAUUAAGAGCUUGCUCUUAUGAAGUUAGCGGCGGACGGGUGAGUAACACGUGGGUAACCUGCCCAUAAGACUGGGAUAACUCCGGGAAACCGGGGCUAAUACCGGAUAACAUUUUGAACCGCAUGGUUCGAAAUUGAAAGGCGGCUUCGGCUGUCACUUAUGGAUGGACCCGCGUCGCAUUAGCUAGUUGGUGAGGUAACGGCUCACCAGGGCAACGAUGCGUAGCCGACCUGAGAGGGUGAUCGGCCACACUGGGACUGAGACACGGCCCAGACUCCUACGGGAGGCAGCAGUAGGGAAUCUUCCGCAAUGGACGAAAGUUUGACGGAGCAACGCCGCGUGAGUGAUGAAGGCUUUCGGGUCGUAAAACUCUGUUGUUAGGGAAGAACAAGUGCUAGUUGAAUAAGCUGGCACCUUGACGGUACCUAACCAGAAAGCCACGGCUAACUACGUGCCAGCCGCCGCGGUAA